Phyllostomus hastatus (greater spear-nosed bat) is the source of this 411-nucleotide long non-coding RNA. RefSeq lists it as uncharacterized. NCBI's taxonomy places the organism in Eukaryota, Metazoa, Chordata, Mammalia, Chiroptera, Phyllostomidae. The transcript has 3 exons. The record is from RefSeq and is a predicted model, not a curated record.
UCCAGAGCCUGGAACAGAAACCAGAAUGCAAAGAGAGCCUGAAUUGUUUUAUCUUGCUCACUCAGGUGUUGCAGGUGCCUGGAAGGGUGCCCAACAGAGAGUAGUAGGCACUGAAUACACUGAAUGAAAACUGGUGAAUGAAUGAGUUGGGACAACAGAGUUCUCUACCAGUCUGCUUCCAUUCCUGCUCCGAGGGAACCAGUUAUUUAAAAAUCUACAUCCAUCCUUGAGUGACUAGUUCUUCUCCACAAAUGAUUUUUUCUGUCUACUUGGCUCAUCUGCAAGAUCCCAUUGGUGAGCUGUGCAGUGCUUGCUAGCAUCCCCAGAUUUUAUAAGAGAAAGCAACUCAACGCUUCUGUUAUCUUCGAAGUUUUACACCCAGAGAUGUUCCCUGUGGGCUCCCUGCAGUGG